Molecule: ribosomal RNA, 962 nt
Filed under: Dothiorella sarmentorum
Lineage: Eukaryota; Fungi; Ascomycota; Dothideomycetes; Botryosphaeriales; Botryosphaeriaceae
Also listed under: 1 other name
Description: eukaryotic LSU rRNA
Rfam family: Eukaryotic large subunit ribosomal RNA
Source: RNAcentral
GGUUGACCUCGGAUCAGGUAGGGAUACCCGCUGAACUUAAGCAUAUCAAUAAGCGGAGGAAAAGAAACCAACUGGGAUUGCCUUAGUAACGGCGAGUGAAGCGGCAAUAGCUCAAAUUUGAAAGCUGGCCCCUUUGGGGUCCGCGUUGUAAUUUGUAGAGGAUGAUUCGGCGAGGGCUCCCGUCUAAGUCCCCUGGAACGGGGCGUCAUAGAGGGUGAGAAUCCCGUAUGUGAUGGGUUGCCUUAGCCAUGUGAAUCUCCUUCGACGAGUCGAGUUGUUUGGGAAUGCAGCUCUAAAUGGGAGGUAAAUUUCUUCUAAAGCUAAAUACCGGCCAGAGACCGAUAGCGCACAAGUAGAGUGAUCGAAAGAUGAAAAGCACUUUGGAAAGAGAGUUAAAAAGUACGUGAAAUUGUUGAAAGGGAAGCGCUUGCAGCCAGACUUGUCCGCAGUUGCUCAGCCGGUCUCCUGACCGGCGUACUCUUCUGCGGCCAGGCCAGCAUCAGUUCGGGCGGUCGGAUAAAGACCUCGGGAAUGUAGCUCCUCUCGGGGAGUGUUAUAGCCCGGGGUGGAAUGCGGCCAGCCUGGACUGAGGAUCUCGCUUCGGCUAGGAUGCUGGCGUAAUGGCUGUAAGCGGCCCGUCUUGAAACACGGACCAAGGAGUCUAACAUCUAUGCGAGUGUUUGGGUGUCAAACCCAUACGCGUAAUGAAAGUGAACGGAGGUGGGAACCCUCACGGGUGCACCAUCGACCGAUCCUGAUGUCUUCGGAUGGAUUUGAGUAUGAGCAUAGCUGUUGGGACCCGAAAGAUGGUGAACUAUGCCUGAAUAGGGUGAAGCCAGAGGAAACUCUGGUGGAGGCUCGCAGCGGUUCUGACGUGCAAAUCGAUCGUCAAAUUUGGGUAUAGGGGCGAAAGACUAAUCGAACCAUCUAGUAGCUGGUUCCUGCCGAAGUUUCCCUCAGGA